Molecule: ribosomal RNA, 468 nt
Filed under: uncultured beta proteobacterium
Lineage: Bacteria; Pseudomonadati; Pseudomonadota; Betaproteobacteria
Description: bacterial SSU rRNA
Rfam family: Bacterial small subunit ribosomal RNA
Source: RNAcentral
GAGAGUAACUGCUCGCACCUUGACCGUACCUAACCAGAAAGCCACGGCUAACUACGUGCCAGCAGCCGCGGUAAUACGUAGGUGGCAAGCGUUGUCCGGAAUUAUUGGGCGUAAAGCGCGCGCAGGUGGUCCUUUAAGUCUGAUGUGAAAGCCCACGGCUCAACCGUGGAGGGUCAUUGGAAACUGGGGGACUUGAGUGCAGAAGAGGAAAGUGGAAUUCCAAGUGUAGCGGUGAAAUGCGUAGAGAUUUGGAGGAACACCAGUGGCGAAGGCGACUUUCUGGUCUGUAACUGACACUGAGGCGCGAAAGCGUGGGGAGCAAACAGGAUUAGAUACCCUGGUAGUCCACGCCGUAAACGAUGAGUGCUAAGUGUUAGAGGGUUUCCGCCCUUUAGUGCUGCAGCUAACGCAUUAAGCACUCCGCCUGGGGAGUACGGUCGCAAGACUGAAACUCAAAGGAAUUGACGG